GACGAACGCUGGCGGCGUGCUUAACACAUGCAAGUCGAACGGAAAGGCCUUUUCGGAGGUACUCGAGUGGCGAACGGGUGAGUAACACGUGGGUGAUCUGCCCUGCACUCUGGGAUAAGCCUGGGAAACUGGGUCUAAUACCGGAUAGGACCGCACUUUAGUGUGUGUGGUGGAAAGUUUUUUCGGUGUAGGAUGAGCCCGCGGCCUAUCAGCUUGUUGGUGGGGUAAUGGCCUACCAAGGCGGCGACGGGUAGCCGGACUGAGAGGUUGGUCGGCCACAUUGGGACUGAGAUACGGCCAAGACUCCUCCGGGAGGCAGCAGGGGGGAAUAUUGCACAAGGGGCGCAAGCCUGAUGCAGCGACGCCGCGUGGGGGAUGACGGCCUUCGGGUUGUAAACUCCUUUCGCCAGGGACGAAGCGUUUUGUGACGGUACCUGGAGAAGAAGCACCGGCUAACUACGUG
Molecule: ribosomal RNA, 463 nt
Filed under: uncultured bacterium
Lineage: Bacteria
Description: partial 16S ribosomal RNA
Rfam family: Bacterial small subunit ribosomal RNA
Source: RNAcentral